Molecule: non-coding RNA, 70 nt
Organism: Onchocerca flexuosa
Lineage: Eukaryota; Metazoa; Nematoda; Chromadorea; Rhabditida; Onchocercidae
Source: Rfam
GAAGCUUUGUACUUCGGCUAAGGUGCUGCUACGCUUAUGGGACAACACCUUGGUUAGGUACAAUGCUCAA